GGGCCUUAGCUCAUGGAUAGAGCAUCUGCUCUGAAUGCAGAAGGCCCCAGUAUCAAUCUCUGGCAUCUCCA
Non-coding RNA from Podarcis lilfordi (Lilford's wall lizard), 71 nucleotides. The record is from the annotation of a GenBank genome assembly. Lineage: Eukaryota; Metazoa; Chordata; Lepidosauria; Squamata; Lacertidae.